Molecule: long non-coding RNA, 1187 nt
Filed under: Triticum aestivum (bread wheat)
Lineage: Eukaryota; Viridiplantae; Streptophyta; Magnoliopsida; Poales; Poaceae
Description: long non-coding RNA (TAES_LNC023498)
Source: RNAcentral
CAACUAAUACAUUUUUGUAGUUCCUCUGUUACAGAGGUAAAAUUUCUACUAAUUUUGGGAAGUUAUUUUUGUUGCAUGUUCCCCUUUCUUAGUCUUCUAUUUGUUCAAAUGUAAGCAUCCGAGCUUAUAAUCCUUAUUACACAAUGAGUCUCACCAUUCUACCAUUUUCCUGGAAAUUUGUGCUCACAUAGUUUCGUUUUUAAUUUGGGUGAUACUUCUGUUCCCAUGAUUUGGUGCACUACAUAUAGCAUGGGACAUUAUAGGCUUAUUGAGCAUAAUUGGUUUGGUGCCAAAAAUAGGCAUGCCAAUGUUUGGCAUUGUGCCAAAUAUUCGCUACUACUUGGUUGGUUACCGAGUUGUCUUGCCUAUCUCACAUAAAGUUGCCAAUAUUUGGCAAGUCUUGGUAUUGCCAAUAUUUGGCAAUUCCAACAUUUGGCUAGCCAAAUAUUGGCAGCAAACCAAUCAUGCUCAUUUUCUUUUCGCUUCGUUCAUGCACUGAUGCAUUAAUCUUCUGGUUAUGGCAUCAUUAUGUAGUCUAGAGAUAUGCAAUGACAACCAUGGCUUUGGUGUUCAGAUAAUCUGGUUAGUAUACCAUUUAUAGACUAAAGAAGCCUUGGCAUCUUAUCAAAAUUCUUUAAGCCUACAUAUUAUGUAUGCCCAGUUAAGUACCUUGUACCAGUACCUUAAUUAGCCUCUUCUGACCAUUGACUGUUUGAGCUGCUGUAGUAGGACUCAGAGUUUCAAAGUUACUAGGCAUCUGGACAUGCUUUUAUUUUAGUUUGUACAAUUUUGUGUACUUUUGGCUUCAGGUUGCUGCUGCAAGGUGCAGCAGCAGGGGAGAGGAAGGAGGUCUGUGAUAGGGGGAAAGUGCAGGCUGGCCCUUGUUCAUAGGUUAGCCAUUGGAUCUGGAUACUCAUGUUAAAAUUGCAAGGUAUAUGAACCAAAACUUUUGUAUAUUAACUUAGUUAAGAGAAAAAUAGUCAGCAACUAUGUUAUGUUCAUAUGUAUUCUCCACAGUUUCCACAUGUAGAUUUUAUUGUUUGAAGGCAAAGAAAAUUGCAGCAUGAGCAUAAAGACAAUUUAGCCGGGGGUACCCAAACUGAGAGGGAGGUUAGCAGCAAAUGAAAGACCGCAACUUAGGCUUCCAUGUCUCCCUACUGUUCAGUUUAGACCUCCGAAGGUCGAAG